Molecule: long non-coding RNA, 405 nt
Filed under: Mytilus galloprovincialis (Mediterranean mussel)
Lineage: Eukaryota; Metazoa; Mollusca; Bivalvia; Mytilida; Mytilidae
Source: RNAcentral
AAAAGACAUAUUUUGCCUAAAUUAUCGAUGACGACCUGAGUAUGUACGCAAUGAAAGUGGCGAUGUCCAGAAUAAUAAAGCUCCUGAGGCUCAACACGUGGCCUGUAAAUUUCCGUUGAGGUAGCACCCACUGCCAUUGGGAGUUUUUCCCAGUUUCCCAUCUUUGCUGUCCAUUCAUUAAGAGAUGGCCAAUGUACCAGAUAAUGAAAAUGUUGGUAAACACGGGAAUGCACCGAUUAAUUUCAUCAUGUAUUGUGGUAACGCUUACGUCAAACAUUAAGGUAAGCAUGUGGUAACACGGAUAUGAUCUUAGCCAAAGCAUGAACAACAUAACUCUAUUUCUCGGGGAAAGUUUGUAUGGCCUGCCAGUGUCAUUCUGGAAAACAUAAUUUCCAAUUUGUCUCA